GUAGCAUAAUCACUUGCCCAUUAAUUGUGGGCUAGAAUGAAUGGAAAAACGAAGUAAUAGCUGUCUCUAGUAGUACCAUAAAAACUAAUCUUCCAGUGAAGAAGCUGAAAUAAAAUCACAGGACAAGAAGACCCUAUAGAGCUUUAUUUUUAAUACAUAGAUUAAAAUGUAAAAAAAUUCAGUUGGGGCGACUAAGGAAAAAUCAUCCUAAAUAUAUAAGACCUACAAGUCAAUUAAAAGAUCCUAAAAAUAGAUCAAAGAAAUAAGCUACCUUAGGGAUAACAGGCUAAUCCUCCUGGAAAGUCCAAAUUUAUAGGAGGGGUUGGCACCU
This 331-nucleotide ribosomal RNA is filed under the name Branchiodrilus sp. M9. RNAcentral's name for it is "partial large subunit ribosomal RNA". It matches the Rfam family "Bacterial large subunit ribosomal RNA", at positions 1956 to 2526 of the family's 2925-position model. The record is from RNAcentral. Lineage: Eukaryota; Metazoa; Annelida; Clitellata; Tubificida; Naididae.